GCUUUAACUCGCGAUCCGCGAGGCGGAUGGUACCGGGAACGCGAGUCGUAGGUGCAGGUACCCGAUGUAACAAGGAUCGAGACUCUUAAGCUAGGCGAGUUCUAGCUCCUGCACUCUGUGCCGGAUCCCGUGGAGCACGGUGGCACGGACGGCAUUUUUCGGGGGGGGUUUGAACCUCGAGGAGAGCCAGGUGCAGGUGUCCAGGUGUUUCACGCGGGGGAGAGUCCGUCCUUGCGCGCCCUGUGCCCGAGUGUCGACCGAGAACUGUUAAACGAGAGAGGAAUGUCCAGUGUGCGUGGUCUCUAGGUCGAGGGUGUCCGUAGGAUCGAGGAUUCAUCGAUCACGGCGUGAACGUGUCUCCAGGUGUCCGAAUGUUUGAGGUAAACACGAAUGCCGCGACGUGAUCGAGCCAGAUUCCGAGAUCAGAAACAGUAAGCAACCAGUUGCCGUACGGGAUUAUCCUUGGCGAUCGAGACCGACGAAGGAUAUAUUUCUGUUCUUCGUGGGCUGGGAAGAAGGAAGAGGAGAUGUUCUUCGCGGUAAUCGGACUCGACCAAUAGCGGAAGGAUUUAUCCGAGUCGACGAGGAGCCGCGUCGAGAAGGCGGCCCGUCGUUCGUUAAGAUCGUGUCGCGAUAUCCGAUUUCUUCGAUUAUAGUAAUAGUAUCGACGCGAUAAAGCACCGCGUCCUUCCGCCACGGGGAAAGAAGAAGCCGAGAUCGAUUUUUGACGCCUGACACGAGCGGCGUUAUCCUUCGUUCCCGUCCAGGACGCGGCUCCUGUUGAUUAUAAGCGCUAAUGGCAACGACGGUCGAUCGAUCAUCGACCUCGUUAGCCGCUGGGAUACUUGGUCGAUGAUUGUGCUCGCUUGAUCGAUUCCUCGAGCCGGAAGAAGAAAACCUUUCUCGAUUCUGGAGAAAUGCGUUACACGGAAUAUUGGAGAUAUGUGGUGCGCGUAACGUCAUAGUUUUUAAAUCAACCAACCAGGCCUAACUGUGCUUUGUAAAAAUUUCUCAUGAAAAUUGUUGGUUAGCCUAAGUUUCCGACAGUGGGUGAAUCUACUAGGCUUAACUUAGCCUCCGAUCGACAACGAAAAUUCUUCGAGUGUCUUCGAUUUCAGCGACAGAGUUCAGUGAUAGUUAGCGGGGGAGUCGUACGACGGUGUGUUUAGCGCAAGAAGAUAACGACCUUGAAACUUUUCCACACGGAUCCGAGAGCUGACUCGAACACCGUCGAGAUGCUCCACGCUCGACAACGUGACUACAGCUAAAAGGUCGUGAUCGAUCGGCUCGCUUCGAUGGCCUAAGAGAACUUUAAACGUGCAAGGUCGUUAUGCAUAGCGAGAAAAGGGGGACGCUCUAAACCGCGUCAAGUUCUCGUCCGACUAGAACGGAAUUGACCGUUCCGUAGGGACAAUUUGCGAGGCCUACCCGACCUAUUUACUACGAAGAGAACACAGUAGCGUCUCAACGGAAAGAGAGCCCUUCUCGAGACAGUCCAGAUGACGCGAUAGCGGAACCCGCUGAUCCGCGCGAUGCCGUGUCAAGGACAUUCGCAGAAACGGGAACGUACCGGCACUAAGGAAAUGUGGCACGCGGAUCGCGGAGCCUCCCUCGAAUUUUCACAGGGUUAUCGACAGACCGCGAAGUCGCGGACGUGUCUCGCCAGGCGACGAUAACGGAGGAUCUUGUAUCGCCUAGUUUCGAAAGCCUAACAUACUCAACGAAAUCGUAGACCGGGUACAUCGUUCACGAUACGCUUCAACGACGCCUUCUCAUCGGAUUUCCACGUGGUCCCGAACGGCUCACGGAAGAAGAUUCUCAUCCAUGGAAUCGUCUUAAUCCCAAAUCGAUAUCCAUCCUAGUUGAUAGCCCGACGCGGGGAACGGAGUAGAAGAUUUCGGUGCCGCCGUAAUCCGCUAAAUGAGAUCCACUAAGGAAAAAGUCGAUCAAGCGGCCCAGAAAGCUACCUCUGUUCCGUGCAAGAGGAACCUCGUCAGUCGACCUCGCAACCGAUCCAGCCUCUGACCCCGUCGUCAGCAUACAAAGCAGCCCCGCCAGCACUCGAUGAGUCCUAGUGGAGAUAAGGAUCCUCGAGCACUCUCGAUCGUUCGCCUCGAAAGCUUGAAGAAGCUCCGGUUGGCACCUCUCUGAGAGCGGUUGGGUGAUGCGCGGGAGUAGCUCCGAGCUCCUGCUGGAGGCGAGCUGCGUCCAGUGCCAGAGCGAUCAUCCAAGCCAGCAUAGGCAUCAGCAGCAUCAGCUGAACGAGAAGCACGACUUCCAGGAGCGAGAGCUACGUCGUCGCAAGCUGUUGGAGCUCGGGUUCGGCGCUUCGCGGCGCCGACCGCCACGGCGUACCUGCCGUCAGCGGUUCAACUUCUACGCCACCUCGGCGUUGGCCUUCGUCGCGACGUCUGGCGGGGCGGCGCUCCUCUUCCUGGUGCCCCUCUACGUCGAUCCGGCGAUCAGCACCUUGGCAGCAGAUUUCUCCCCCGAACCGGUUAUCUGCACCACGUCCAGACGCGAGGAGCUUUACGGUUUGUUCAACUGCACGUGGAGCUCGUGCCGCGAGGGAUGCACCAGUGACGUUUACAAGUGCACCCAUAUAUACGUCACUUACACACCAUGGAGCAACACCAGUAUGAACAACGACACCGGAGGUAGAGGGAACAACGCGAACUCUACCGGCGUCGCGCACACCUCGACCACUCCGGUGCCAACGCCAGGUGACGUCGAGGCGGCGCUCCUUGUGAACAUCAAAGGGUGCGGCUAUCCGCCGAUCGUCGACUGCGACAACUUCACCCGCGAAUUGGGCUACGAGGGCGCCAAGUUCCCUUGCCAUUACAGCCGCGUGAACGGCAGCAUAGUGAUGGCGAACUAUAAUCGCGAGGCGCAGGUCACCACCAUCAUACACUUCUUCGCGGCACCAUUCGUAGUGACUCUCGCGACCAGCGUCGCUCUGUGUGUGAUGCACUGUGACUGUAGGUGCAGUCCGCCGCCUCGACAUUCCUCACGCGGGAUCAGAGGAGCCAGGGGUAACGAUCUCAGAAUCGAGUUAUGUAAAUUCUGCAACAUACAUAUCGGCGAUUAGAACGUCACUGUUAAACUCGGUGUGAGUAUACACCAGCUCGGUCAAGGUCCAUUGUUCCAUUUGAUUGAGAAGUUCGUUAUCGAGCCAACGCGUGGCGACCACGUGAAAGGCUGUUCGGAAAUUUUUGCUUAUCGCUGAUGAAAGCUUGUGUGUUGUACCACUGAUUGUCGGGAUAUCGGGCAUACGAAAUCCACGAGCCAUCGACGAGACACGAAAAUGGCUCGUCCCCUACUUCCAUCGACAUUGCCAAAAACGUACGACUUGCGAGCACGUGUCGAGCAACGUCGCGUCGGUAAGCAAUCGGGGAUCACGUUCCAUGUUUUAUUGUCUCGUUUUGACUGGCACAAUUCGAAUAAUGCUGCACCAAUACACGAACAUGAAGCUCAGGGCACAUUUUUAACGACGGGCAGUUUGCAUGCGUUACAACAGGGCCUCGAAAUUCGUUACUUCUGGUACACAUUUGUUUUGAAAGUUUUCAACAUUGAUACUCUUUAUAAAAUACCUGGAGAAUAAUAGAAAUAUGUAACCAGUAUAAUAAACUUCAGGUAUGUCUAAUUCUUUGUUCUAUUAAAGUAAAUGUUCCCAUAAAAAUUGAAUUGGUAAUAAACGUCAUCUCCAAACUAAAUCCAGAUUUUGCUUGAUUAAAGUUCUAUGCACAUUUGACUACUACUAAAAGUUGCACGUAUUAUACUACAGUUCUGUAACCAUACGAAUAAAAAUAUUAGAUAUUCUUAAUUGACAGACAUUGGAAAAACCCAUAACGCAUGCAACAACUUCGCAGAGAAAGUUGGUUCAUUUACACGGGGCCAAAAAUCUAGACAGUUGUAAUAAUACCUCUGAUACUAUCUAAGCGUGAUCUAUUUCUAUUCUAGUUUUCACUUUUCGAGCAUUUACAAUAUACAAGAAAGCUAUUGAUAUAGUAUAACCGUUUCCAUUUUUGUAAGAUUUAAACAGCGCUGCGAGUCGAAUGUCUGGCGAGAGUAAUAUUAAGAGUCACGCAUCUGUCAUCGAUGUCACUUUGCACAUUUAUGGUACAAUGGAGUUGUCUACUGUUGGGAGUUGAAAAAAAUGAUUCUCGAAGGAAUGUGUCAGCCAUUAUCUGCUGAAUUCGAAUGUCUUUUUAAACUACAACUAUCAAAGAAAUCAUAGACUGGUACUUAUGUCUUCUAGGGAGAAAGAAAGAUCAAUCCUGAAAAGGAUUGUGUUUAGUAUUAGGUCAGAUCUACCAAGAAAUCCACAUUCUAUUCACUCAUGGCACCAUAUUGCUCUCGAUUCAGGCCUAAUCUUUUUUUCUACACACAACAUAUCUCGAUCAACUUUUUUUCAGCUCCCAGCAGUACAUGCGUCUUCACUAAUGCACUCUAGGGAGAAAGAAAGAUCAGUUCUGAACCCCUACUAAGAAACCGACUGCCCAUAUUCCAUACUACCACAUUCUUCUCAACUCGGAACUGAUCUUUUCUUUUACCAAUAAUAUACUUCAAGUGAAUUCUCUUCAGCUCCAAAUAGUACACGCAUCCAGCACGCGUGGUGUGUUCGUCGACUGUGUUUUCGCUGUGCUUUGCAUCGCUGCGCGUUCGGGUACCAAUUUUAAUCGAAUCGUACAGACGAAAUCGGUGGAACGCAUUUUCCUUUUCUCACCAGAUCAAUUUCCCGGUCCUCGUAGCGAUGGGAAAAAUCCGACGGCGCACGGCGCCGGGGAAACGUCUGCUCGAGGAUCAAAGUCCUCGCCAAUUUCAUUAACGCGCAUGGAGAUCGAGACGCAUAGACGAGCUGGGGAUUAUCUUUUUGCGAUUUACCAGAAGCUAUGCGAUGCACGGCUGCAGCCGGAACACGGCCACCGUGAAAAUUCGAGCCUCGCUUGAAAGUUCUCGCGCGGAAGUUGGAAAAUGCAAAUUUCUGACGACCGCGUUCCUGCGUGGCCUCCUUCCCAGGGACGAGGAAAGGGGAGGAAACGUAUCGACGAAUGGCGCGCAUAUACUUGAACGACUGUAUGUAAUGUAUUAUUGAAUAUAAUAAACGAAUUGUACAGACAUAACGUGUGGCGAUCAGUUUCAUCCAAUUAAUCUACUGUUUGAUCUGUUUUUCUUUUUUUUUUUUAUUGUGUGUAAAUUGCUUUCAAUUUUGCGUUUUGAAUAUUGCCCAUGGUUAGUUAUCUUGUAUGAGCAUUUGAAGCUGAUUCGAGGCUUUUGAAAGUAUUUCAUUCUGUACCGAUUCGAUUUGUUCAUGUUACAAGUGGUGCAUUAUGUUUUUAUGGGUGCUAGAUGAAAUGGAGUUUGAGGGUACUUUGAUAAAAAUGAAUGAGAAGUAUUUUUAAAUUCAAUCUCAUUUUAUUGGGACGUUCAAUUUUACGUUGAAGAAGUGGCUGAUUCAGGACAAUGAUUCGUAAUUUAUUUUAUUAGUCUAUUACAAUUAAUUAAAUAUAAAUACAUUUGAAAUUGAAAAUUGAAUUUGAAAUUUGUCGUGUUUAAAACAUCGGAGAGUCAUAAAAGUCCAUAAUGGAACGUUUCAGACCUUCGACUAAAUAACUUGAGUUGCUGUACUAAACGAAUGAUUCCUAGCAAUUAAGCAUUGUAUUUGUUAUUUUAUAUAUUUGAACAAUCCAUUAAUCAUUUUCAUCCUUUCUUAUCGUUUGAUCAAGUUCAUAAAGUUGUCGCUGAUGUCGGUAAGGUAAGAUUUUCUUGACUUCAUAUCUUCCUGUAUUUCUCAAAAUCUCUAAUCGUAGAUCUGAAACAUUGUACCGGUAUAUCUAAAGCACAAAGGUUGUUUCGUUCUCUUUCAAUUAUUCAUUUUCACUUCUAUUCCACUAUGUGUAUCACUGUUUGCUAUAGUUGUCUCACCGUCUGGAGCGUAUCAC
Hylaeus anthracinus is the source of this 5942-nucleotide RNA transcript. It is a transcript of the gene named protein tipE, with no coding region annotated. The transcript is spliced from 5 exons. NCBI's taxonomy places the organism in Eukaryota, Metazoa, Arthropoda, Insecta, Hymenoptera, Colletidae. The record is from RefSeq and is a predicted model, not a curated record.